This 602-nucleotide ribosomal RNA is filed under the name uncultured bacterium. Its description in RNAcentral is "bacterial SSU rRNA". It matches the Rfam family "Bacterial small subunit ribosomal RNA", at positions 63 to 657 of the family's 1533-position model. The record is from RNAcentral.
CGAGGGGCAGCGGGGUAGUGCUUGCACUACUGCCGGCGACCGGCGCACGGGUGAGUAACACGUAUGGAACCUGCCCGCAGCAGGGGGAUAAGCGGAAGAAAUUCCGUCUAAUACCGCGUAACAACGUUGGGAGGCAUCUCCCGAUGUUUAAAGAUUUAUCGGCUGCGGAUGGCCAUGCGGCGCAUUAGCUAGUCGGCGGGGUAACGGCCCACCGAGGCGACGAUGCGUAGGGGUUCUGAGAGGAAGGUCCCCCACACUGGUACUGAGACACGGACCAGACUCCUACGGGAGGCAGCAGUGAGGAAUAUUGGUCAAUGGCCGAGAGGCUGAACCAGCCAAGUCGCGUGAGGGGAGACGGCCCUACGGGUUGUAAACCUCUUUUGUCGGGGAGCAAAGCGAACCACGUGUGGUUCAUUGAGAGUACCCGAAGAAAAAGCAUCGGCUAACUCCGUGCCAGCAGCCGCGGUAAUACGGAGGAUGCGAGCGUUAUCCGGAUUUAUUGGGUUUAAAGGGUGCGCAGGCGGAGGUGCAAGUCAGCGGUCAAAUUGCGGGGCUCAACCCCGUACUGCCGUUGAAACUGCAUCCCUUGAGUGCGCGAGAAG